AUGAACGCUGACAGAAUGCUUAACCCAUGCAAGUCAACUUGAAUUUGGGUUUUUAACUUAGGUUUGGGUGGCGGACGGGUGAGUAACGCGUAAAGAACUUGCCUCACAGCUAGGGACAACAUUUGGAAACGAAUGCUAAUACCUAAUAUUAUGAUAAUAGGGCAUCCUAUAAUUAUGAAAGCUAUAAGCGCUGUGAGAGAGCUUUGCGUCCCAUUAGCUAGUUGGAGAGGUAACGGCUCACCAAGGCGAUGAUGGGUAGCCGGCCUGAGAGGGUGAUCGGCCACAAGGGGACUGAGACACGGCCCUUACUCCUACGGGAGGCAGCAGUGGGGAAUAUUGGACAAUGGACCGAGAGUCUGAUCCAGCAAUUCUGUGUGCACGAUGAAGUUUUUCGGAAUGUAAAGUGCUUUCAGUUGGGAAGAAACAAAUGACGGUACCAACAGAAGAAGUGACGGCUAAAUACGUG
Molecule: ribosomal RNA, 466 nt
Filed under: uncultured bacterium
Lineage: Bacteria
Description: partial 16S ribosomal RNA
Rfam family: Bacterial small subunit ribosomal RNA
Source: RNAcentral